RNAcentral lists this ribosomal RNA (253 nucleotides) under uncultured bacterium. RNAcentral's name for it is "partial 16S ribosomal RNA". It matches the Rfam family "Bacterial small subunit ribosomal RNA", at positions 524 to 776 of the family's 1533-position model. The record is from RNAcentral.
UACAGGGGGGGCAAGCGUUGUUCGGAAUUACUGGGCGUAAAGGGUUCGUAGGUGGCCACCUAAGUCAGACGUGAAAUCCCUCAGCUUAACUGGGGAACUGCGUCUGAUACUGGGUGGCUUGAGUGCAGGAGAGGAAUGCGGAAUUCCAGGUGUAGCGGUGAAAUGCGUAGAUAUCUGGAGGAACACCAGAGGCGAAGGCGGCGAACUUGACAGUUACUGACACUCAACUGCGAAAGCGUGGGGAGCAAACAGG